This 995-nucleotide ribosomal RNA is filed under the name uncultured Gram-positive bacterium. Its description in RNAcentral is "bacterial SSU rRNA". It matches the Rfam family "Bacterial small subunit ribosomal RNA", at positions 504 to 1502 of the family's 1533-position model. The record is from RNAcentral.
UGUCCCAGCAGCCGCGGUAAUACGUAGGGGGCAAGCGUUGUCCGGAAUUACUGGGCGUAAAGGGCGUGUAGGCGGCACUUUAAGUCAGAUGUGAAAGUCCACGGCUCAACCGUGGAAUUGCAUUUGAAACUGGAGUGCUUGAGUGCGGGAGAGGAGAGCGGAAUUCCUAGUGUAGCGGUGAAAUGCGUAGAUAUUAGGAAGAACACCAGUGGCGAAGGCGGCUCUCUGGACUGUAACUGACGCUGAGGCGCGAAAGCGUGGGUAGCGAACAGGAUUAGAUACCCUGGUAGUCCACGCCGUAAACGAUGAGUGCUAGGUGUUGGGGAACCUCAGUGCCGCAGCUAACGCAUUAAGCACUCCGCCUGGGGAGUACGACCGCAAGGUUGAAACUCAAAGGAAUUGACGGGGGCCCGCACAAGCAGCGGAGCAUGUGGUUUAAUUCGAAGCAACGCGAAGAACCUUACCAGGACUUGACAUCCCUUGACCACCGUAGAGAUACGGCCUUCCCUUCGGGGACAAGGUGACAGGUGGUGCAUGGUUGUCGUCAGCUCGUGUCGUGAGAUGUUGGGUUAAGUCCCGCAACGAGCGCAACCCUUGUAUUUAGUUGCCAUCAGGUUAAGCUGGGCACUCUAGAUAGACUGCCGUAGAGAAUACGGAGGAAGGUGGGGAUGACGUCAAAUCAUCAUGCCCCUUAUGUCCUGGGCUACACACGUGCUACAAUGGUCUGUACAGAGGGAAGCGAAGGAGCGAUCUGGAGCCAAUCCCACAAAGCAGAUCCCAGUUCGGAUUGCAGGCUGCAACUCGCCUGCAUGAAGUCGGAGUUGCUAGUAAUCGCGGAUCAGAACGCCGCGGUGAAUGCGUUCCCGGGCCUUGUACACACCGCCCGUCACACCACGAGAGUUGGCAACACCCGAAGUCAGUGAGCUAACCCUUUUAGGGAGGCAGCUGCCGAAGGUGGGGCUAGUGAUUGGGGUGAAGUCGUAACAAGGUAACCA